Molecule: long non-coding RNA, 733 nt
Organism: Poeciliopsis prolifica (blackstripe livebearer)
Lineage: Eukaryota; Metazoa; Chordata; Actinopteri; Cyprinodontiformes; Poeciliidae
Exons: 3
Source: RefSeq, a predicted model, not a curated record
AUGAAGCUCUUGCUCUCUUUGUGUUUCUGCUGUGGUAUUUCAAAAACAUUUUUUUCUAUUUUAACAUGAAAUCAGUGUUUUAUCAGUCAGUGUGAACUACAAGCAGCUCCAGAGAGAAGAAAACAUCCUGCAGAGACUCUGAGCGGAGCUAGCGAUGCUAACAGACUAGCAGCAGCAGCAGCUUGUUUUAUACUCAGUGAUUCUGGUGAAUGUUGAUGUUUUGAUUCAUCAGCUGUUUUUUUUCUCCACUGAUGAUAUCAAUACUCGAUCAGCUUAUUGACAGAACCAAGUGGGUUUUAGUGGAACCGCAUUAAAACGAUUCUGGUCUGAUCUCUCUGACAGAAUCUUGUUUCUCAACAGCUGAUUGAGAAUCUUCAUCCAUUCAUCCAGAGCUGGAAGUGAGAGGAUGAGGACCUGAGGCACUUCAAGAAGCUGGACCCCUGCAGGGAGGGAGGAGACCAGAGGUGCCUGCUGCUGGCAGGCCGCAGACGAUGAAGGUCUCCAUCCUCUUCCUCCUCUGCAGAAAAAGGAGGAUCAUUCCAGAAGUCGGGUCAGAACUGGCCUGUAGUGGGGUCAAAGAUCACAGAGAAAGCACAAAGCUGCGAUGGCGGCGCGGUCUGAGCUGCAGCUCUUUGGAUCAUGUGACAUGUUUGUCGGUGCAGCUUUCUGAAUGCAACGUGUUUGUUCUGGUUCUUCUUCUUGUGUAUUUGUGCUGCUGAGCCACCAGCAGAUA